GAUGAACGCUGGCGGCGUGCCUAAUACAUGCAAGUCGAGCGAACAGACGAGGAGCUUGCUCCUCUGACGUUAGCGGCGGACGGGUGAGUAACACAUGGAUAACCUACCUAUAAGACUGGGAUAACUUCGGGGAACCGGAGCUAAUACCGGAUAACAUGUUGAACCGCAUGGUUCAACAGUGAAAGACGGUUUUGCUGUCACUUAUAGAUGGAUCCGCGUCGCAUUAGCUAGUUGGUAAGGUAACGGCUUACCAAGGCAACGAUGCGUAGCCGACCUGAGAGGGUGAUCGGCCACACUGGAACUGAGACACGGUCCAGACUCCUACGGGAGGCAGCAGUAGGGAAUCUUCCGCAAUGGGCGAAAGCCUGACGGAGCAACGCCGCGUGAGUGAAGAAGGUCUUCGGAUCGUAAAACUCUGUUAUUAGGGAAGAACAAAUGUGUAAGUAACUAUGCACGUCUUGACGGUACCUAAUCAGAAAGCCACGGCUAACUACGUG
RNAcentral lists this ribosomal RNA (497 nucleotides) under uncultured bacterium. RNAcentral describes it as "partial 16S ribosomal RNA". It matches the Rfam family "Bacterial small subunit ribosomal RNA", at positions 28 to 507 of the family's 1533-position model. The record is from RNAcentral.